UAAAGUGCUGUGUCACGGACA
This 21-nucleotide microRNA is filed under the name Mus musculus (house mouse). RNAcentral's name for it is "mmu-miR-6383". Lineage: Eukaryota; Metazoa; Chordata; Mammalia; Rodentia; Muridae. The record is from miRBase by way of RNAcentral.